CAUGCGCUUUAGAUUGGCUAGAUUUAGUAAACAUUGGCGAAUUCAGAUCUCAUGGUUGUUUUCCUGCUAUUUUCCCUUGGAAUAUUACUUUUGACAUCAACUCUUCUGCACGAAUCGAUUCUUUAUUCCCGUUGAACCUUCAUGAUCAGCUGUUUGACGUAGGUGUUCCGGCGUUUACACUGUUGCAUUUCCAGGGAUAUUUACUUUUAUAUUUUGCCUGGAGUAGGAUGGCUUCCAGACCUAAACGAAGACGAACUAAACCUGCGUCCAAUCCAACCAUUGUUCCUGCUGCCGAACAAGUCACCCCUCAACCAGGUCCAAGCUCCCCCUUGCCUGAUGUUAGUGCCAUAUUUCAGACAUGCAUGGCACAAGUCAUGCCCACUAUAGAGGACACUUUUAAAAAGUGCAUGGAAAAUUAUUUCCAACAAACUCCUUCAUCGACUGACAGCUCUCCAAAUGCCAACCUUUCGCAGUCUCCACCAGCUCCGUCCCUUCUACAAGA
Ostrea edulis (European flat oyster) is the source of this 502-nucleotide long non-coding RNA. RefSeq lists it as uncharacterized. The record is from RefSeq and is a predicted model, not a curated record. The transcript is spliced from 3 exons. NCBI's taxonomy places the organism in Eukaryota, Metazoa, Mollusca, Bivalvia, Ostreida, Ostreidae.